GGGGGUAUAGCUCAGUGGUAGAGCGCAUGCUUAGCAAGCCCGAGGCUCUCGGUUCCAUCCCCAGUCUCUCCA
RNAcentral lists this transfer RNA (72 nucleotides) under Loxodonta africana (African savanna elephant). It matches the Rfam family "tRNA". Rfam says of the family: Transfer RNA (tRNA) molecules are approximately 80 nucleotides in length. Their secondary structure includes four short double-helical elements and three loops (D, anti-codon, and T loops). The record is from Rfam by way of RNAcentral. Lineage: Eukaryota; Metazoa; Chordata; Mammalia; Proboscidea; Elephantidae.